This 550-nucleotide ribosomal RNA is filed under the name uncultured bacterium. Its description in RNAcentral is "bacterial SSU rRNA". It matches the Rfam family "Bacterial small subunit ribosomal RNA", at positions 355 to 896 of the family's 1533-position model. The record is from RNAcentral.
UAGGGAAUCUUCCGCAAUGGGCGAAAGCCUGACGGAGCAACGCCGCGUGAGUGAAGAAGGAUUUCGGUUCGUAAAGCUCUGUUGUAAGUCAAGAACGAGUGUGAGAGUGGAAAGUUCACACUGUGACGGUAGCUUACCAGAAAGGGACGGCUAACUACGUGCCAGCAGCCGCGGUAAUACGUAGGUCCCGAGCGUUGUCCGGAUUUAUUGGGCGUAAAGCGAGCGCAGGCGGUUUGAUAAGUCUGAAGUUAAAGGCUGUGGCUCAACCAUAGUUCGCUUUGGAAACUGUCAAACUUGAGUGCAGAAGGGGAGAGUGGAAUUCCAUGUGUAGCGGUGAAAUGCGUAGAUAUAUGGAGGAACACCGGUGGCGAAAGCGGCUCUCUGGUCUGUAACUGACGCUGAGGCUCGAAAGCGUGGGGAGCGAACAGGAUUAGAUACCCUGGUAGUCCACGCCGUAAACGAUGAGUGCUAGGUGUUGGAUCCUUUCCGGGAUUCAGUGCCGCAGCUAACGCAUUAAGCACUCCGCCUGGGGAGUACGACCGCAAGGUUG